UGGCGGACGGGUGAGUAACGCGUGGGUAACCUGCCCCAUACAGGGGGAUAACAGCCGGAAACGGCUGCUAAUACCGCAUGCACAUGCGGGGGCGCAUGCCCCUGGAUGGAAAGCUUUCGCGGUAUGGGAUGGGCCCGCGUCUGAUUAGGCAGUUGGCGGGGUAACGGCCCACCAAACCGACGAUCAGUAGCCGGCCUGAGAGGGCAACCGGCCACAUUGGGACUGAGACACGGCCCAAACUCCUACGGGAGGCAGCAG
Molecule: ribosomal RNA, 258 nt
Filed under: uncultured bacterium
Lineage: Bacteria
Description: partial 16S ribosomal RNA
Rfam family: Bacterial small subunit ribosomal RNA
Source: RNAcentral